Molecule: ribosomal RNA, 468 nt
Filed under: Triticum aestivum (bread wheat)
Lineage: Eukaryota; Viridiplantae; Streptophyta; Magnoliopsida; Poales; Poaceae
Description: partial small subunit ribosomal RNA
Source: RNAcentral
AUGGAAGCUCUCGCCUCGUCGCCGCGGGCUCUCUUCGCCCGCACCGCCUCUCCGACAACGGCGGUGGCCACGUCAGCAAGAUGGAUGCCGUCAUCGAGCAGGCUUGUCAAGGCCGCCGCCGCCGCCGAGCCCGCCGGCGACGCCAAGCCGGCUGCGGCAGCCGCGGCGCCGGCGCCCAAGAAGAUCCUCAAGAAGAAGCCCGUCUACUCCAUGAAGAAAGGACAGAUUGUUCGCGUCGAGAAAGAGAAGUACCUGAACAGCAUCAAUUACCUGUCAGUGGGGCACCCACCCUUCUACAAGGGGCUAGACUACAUAUACGAAGACCGCGGUGAGGUUUUGGACAUCAGAAUCUUCGAAGAAACCGGAGAGUAUGCUCUGAUCGCGUGGGUAGGCAUUCCAACACCGCCGGCAUGGCUCCCAACUUAUAUGCUCAUCAAGUCAGACAAACUUGACUACGAGAGGAUAUGA